CGCAGGCCCACAGCUCGAGCCUGUGACCUUGUUCUAUCCUCCAAAUACCUGUGGUCUUGGUGGCUUGAGGCUGCCUUAUUUGAUGCAUGUUUUUCCCCUUGAUGGUAAAGUGAUAAUCUUUUAGUUCUUAAGACUUCGGAAUUCUAGGGUUUUUUCACUCAAAACAGACCAUUUUGCCGCCACCUACUGGUCUGCUUAACGAGGACACAGCUCCCGGUGAAGACAGCCGGCUGCACAGAGCAGCCGAGGGGCCCUGGAACUGUUUCCCCGGGUGCCCAGUCAACCCCAUGAAGCUGAAGAUCAGCGCCAGGCAGCCUGUGGUUCCCGGGUACCGUGAAGCUGCUCCACGCCCACGCUGCAGUCCUGUGCACCUGGUCUCUCGAGGAGGAGAAAAGAGUCUGCCCACAGUUGUGAGGAGUAAGUUAAGUGGCAGAAGAUAGAAGUAAGAAGAGCCGAAGUCGCGUGGGCGGAAGCCCAGGACCCGGCUCUGCUGUGGAGGAACUGGCUGCUGCCUUCGCUGGCCUGUGCGCCCUCCUCCCGCCCCGGGGUAUACGGACCACCCGGCUUUGGGGAUAGGGUCUGGGGCAUCAGUGUCAGGCCAGAGCUCGAGUUCGAGUCCAAGCAGGCUGCUGGCUUGGCGGGCGCCCCUGGGCUUCACCUGCCAUCUGGGAGACGUAGAUGGAGACCUACCGCGCAGCGUUCCUAGGGCUCAGGGGACGACGCGCGUCGCGAGGCCCCGGGGCGCUCCCAAAUCGGGAGCCCUUCCGCAGGAGCACCGCCGUGGGCGCACCUGCUUUGCAGUGAUAAUGCGGCUCUAGGAGACCCUUUCACGAUCUGGUUACCACCGCCCCUGAGCCCAUCGGGAGCCCGGUUUGGGGCGCCGAUGUACCGCAGGCACAGACCCCCGCUGGACCGCCGAUCAUUCGCACACGCCCACUCGACAGGACCAGUCCUGCCGGAUCUCGGGUCCACCCGGUCUCCCUGCUCUCCGUGCUUCCGGGAUCGGCCCAGCCCCCCCACACACA
This 1025-nucleotide long non-coding RNA is filed under the name Heterocephalus glaber (naked mole-rat). RNAcentral describes it as "lncRNA (ENSHGLG00000045545.1)". Lineage: Eukaryota; Metazoa; Chordata; Mammalia; Rodentia; Bathyergidae. The record is from RNAcentral.